Molecule: long non-coding RNA, 943 nt
Filed under: Homo sapiens (human)
Lineage: Eukaryota; Metazoa; Chordata; Mammalia; Primates; Hominidae
Description: HSALNT0027079
Source: RNAcentral
AUUCUACAUAAAUGGGAUUAUAUGCCAUCCCUGGCAUGGGUUUGUUGCCCUUUGUGGUCACAGAAUGGCUGCGGGAGUUCCAGCCAUCAUGUCCCUGUUCCAGGAAGAAAGAAGGGAAAGGUUAAAGGGCAGAAGAGGAUUUCCUAGAAGCUUCACCCAAGAUCUUCCAUUUAAUCUCCUUUUAAAAACUGUGUAAGAGGCCCACAUGGCAUUGCUGAGUGGCUGGGAAAUUUAGCUUUUUAGCAGGACACAUUGCUUCCUUGAAUUGAAUCUGGGUUCGGUUAUAAGGAAGAAAGGAAGAACGAUUAUUAACUUGGUCUUUCUCAAUCCCUGCCGCAAGAUACUAGCCCAGAAGAGAAGACAAAGGCCAUUAAUAGCCAGCAAGAGAAAAGGACUCAACACCCAGGACUUUGUUUACUCCCCAGCAGGUGCCAGUGUGCCCUGGUGAUGAGUUAUGGGCCAAGCAUCUGGGAGAAGCUACUGGCUCCUCAUGAACCCCUGGUUUCGGCUGGCACCCUGCCUCCUGAGUGAUUUCCACAUGGUCGCUCUGCCCCAUAUCUGAUCCAUCAAGCUUGGCACUCUGAAUAUCUCCACCUCUCCCUCUCUAGGACAACAAGGCGUUGCACAAUGGGAAACUAUGCGAAUGAAAUUGCUUUAUUUCUUGAUUUUAAAGCAUUUGACUUGUUGAUUUUAAAAGUGACCUACAAAAGAGCACAGCUUAACAAAAUGAAAUGGAUCUCUUCUCUCUGGCUUUAGAUAGAUUUAUUUCACACUGGCACCAGACAGAUCAGAAGCCGUAGGGUGGAGACUGAGGUGGAGUGGAGAACACAGCCGGCAUUCUUUCCAGGAAGCGGUUGGAGCCAAACCCCAUGGGAGAAUUGAUCUGAUCCAACUUUUAACUAAUUGAUGAAUUGCUGUCGAUGGUCCAUUCAUUAAAACGCAC